UGGCCCAAUGGAUAAGGCAUCCGCCUACGAAGCGGGAGAUUGCGAGUUCGAGUCCCGU
This 58-nucleotide transfer RNA is filed under the name Plasmopara halstedii. It matches the Rfam family "tRNA", at positions 8 to 63 of the family's 71-position model. Rfam says of the family: Transfer RNA (tRNA) molecules are approximately 80 nucleotides in length. Their secondary structure includes four short double-helical elements and three loops (D, anti-codon, and T loops). Lineage: Eukaryota; Oomycota; Peronosporomycetes; Peronosporales; Peronosporaceae. The record is from Rfam by way of RNAcentral.